UCAUCCUUUUAUGGGUGUAGAAGUCAGUGAUUUAAUGAUGCUCUUCCUAACAGUGGUGUGCAUGGAAAGGUUUUCAUUAAAGAGCGUAUGUGGUUUGCAUUUGCAAGAUUCAACUAGCACAGACUCCAAGAAAACCUAAGUUUUUUUGUUUUUUAAAGCAGGUAAGGCCAGGCACUGUGGCUUACACAAGUAAUCCACACACUUUGGGAGGCCGAGGUGGGUGGAUCACUUGAGGUCAGGAUUUCGAGACUAGCUAGGCCACUAGCUAGCCUAACCUGGUGGCACGUGCCUGUAAUUCCAGCUACUCAGGAGGGCUGCCUCAUCUUGAACCCGGGAGGCAGAGGCUGCAGUGAGCCGAGAUCACACCACUGCACUACAGCCUGGGCGACAGAGUGAGACUCGUCUCAAAAAAAAUUAAAUAAAUAAAAAAGUGCCAUCAAGUUAGAAGUUUUAAAUUCAUGGUACAAGCAUUGCCAUAGAUGCGCCUGCAAGAAACACACAGAUGACUUUUUUUUGAGACAGGGUCUCUGUUGCACAAGCUGGAGUGUGGUGGCGCGAACAUGACUUACUGCAACCUUGAGCUCCUGGGCUCAAGAGAUCCACCUGCUUCAGACUUUCAUUUAGCUGGGACCACAGGCAUGUGCCACCAUGACCGGCUAAUUUUUUUUACUUUUCAGAGAGAGGAGGGGGAAUCUCACUUUGUUGCCAGGCUAGUCUCAAACUCCUGGGCUCAAGCAAUCCACCUGCCUCGGUGGCCAGAGUGCUAGGAUUACAGGUGUGAGUUUUUUUUUUUUUUAAAGAGACAAUCUUACCUCAUUCUGUCACCCAGAAUGGAAUGACUUUCUAAAAUUGCAGAAAGCAGAACAUAUUCCUUGCUGUUGAUAAUAUUAUAGUUGUAUCAAAGGGAAAGAGUAUUUCUCCUUAAAUAAAAUUACAAAUAAGAAAUGUAUGUUUUACUCUUACUCAUAAAAGGUAUUGUA
Molecule: long non-coding RNA, 980 nt
Filed under: Pan troglodytes (chimpanzee)
Lineage: Eukaryota; Metazoa; Chordata; Mammalia; Primates; Hominidae
Description: long non-coding RNA NONPTRT015241
Source: RNAcentral